This 603-nucleotide ribosomal RNA is filed under the name Sarocladium strictum genogroup II. RNAcentral's name for it is "eukaryotic LSU rRNA". It matches the Rfam family "Eukaryotic large subunit ribosomal RNA", at positions 38 to 667 of the family's 3401-position model. The record is from RNAcentral. RNAcentral also lists the same sequence under 2 other names. Lineage: Eukaryota; Fungi; Ascomycota; Sordariomycetes; Hypocreales; Sarocladiaceae.
GCAUAUCAAUAAGCGGAGGAAAAGAAACCAACAGGGAUUGCCCUAGUAACGGCGAGUGAAGCGGCAACAGCUCAAAUUUGAAAUCUGGCCUCACGGUCCGAAUUGUAAUUUGUAGAGGAUGUUUCUGGCGACGUGUCUUCCGAGUUCCCUGGAACGGGACGCCAUAGAGGGUGAGAGCCCCGUCCGGUCGUACACCUAGCCUCUGUGAAACUCCUUCGACGAGUCGAGUAGUUUGGGAAUGCUGCUCUAAAUGGGAGGUAUACGUCUUCUAAAGCUAAAUACCGGCCAGAGACCGAUAGCGCACAAGUAGAGUGAUCGAAAGAUGAAAAGCACUUUGAAAAGAGGGUUAAAUAGUACGUGAAAUUGCUGAAAGGGAAGCGCUUAUGACCAGACUUGGGCUCGGUGAAUCAUCCGGCGUUCUCGCCGGUGCACUUUGCCGUCCCAGGCCAGCAUCAGUUCGCGCCGGGGGAUAAAGGUUUCGGGAAUGUAGCUCCUUCGGGAGUGUUAUAGCCCGUUGCGUAAUACCCUGGCGUGGACUGAGGUCCGCGCUCUGCAAGGAUGCUGGCGUAAUGGUCAUCAGUGACCCGUCUUGAAACACGGACC